GGCGUCCCGGCCCCAGCACCCGCGCUCCUCCCAGCCUCUCGAGGUUCUCGGGCGCCCGGGCCCCCAACCAGGCGGGCCCCAAACCCGGCCUCAGUGUCUUUUCCGGGAACCCAAGCACUCUCGCCCCUCGCCCCUCGCCCCUUAGUUCGGGGCCUUGGGUCCCGCACCCUCCCCCCACGGCCAGCAGGUCUUCGCGCAGCGCGGGGCUGGGACAAGCCGAAGGAGAGGCUGUGGACCCCGACUUGGGACGCCGCGAGAGCAGGGCUGAUGCGGGGCCUGGGCCGCAGCGCCCUCUGCUGGCUACCCCCAGGGGCGGGCCCGGGCUUCGAGGAGCCUAGAGAAGGGGGACUCGGUGGGUCCAUGGCUGCUGGGGGCUUUUUCCAGUCGGUAGCCUGGCCCCCACCUCCCACCGUCCGGAGGGCCCCUGGCUUGGAGCCCCCAGAACUGAAGAGGAAGGGGCUUUGCUGGGAUAAAGACGGAGGCGGUGGGGGAAGGAAAGGCAGAGAUGGGGGCGGGGUAGACCUAGGAACUUGGGGGUUUCCCAGUCCUGCCUCAUGGGAAUCCCAGAGUUUGAGGCCAAACUCUCAGUUCUGCCUGGAACCCUGGACCGAGGGUCUGUGAUCUGCACAGCUGGUGGUAGUUGGCACUUCCUUAGCCAGAGGCAACAUGCAAGAACACUUACAUUCAACCACCAAUGCAUGGACAUUGGGGCACUCACAGCCAUGCACACAUAUCUGUGAACACUGGGCAUUCCCAGAGACACAUAAGAACACCUGCAGAAAUGCCCCACCAUGGUAACACACCCACAGGAAGCAUAUACUGCCCAAGAACACACACACUUGUGCACAC
This 849-nucleotide long non-coding RNA is filed under the name Homo sapiens (human). RNAcentral's name for it is "HSALNT0176643". Lineage: Eukaryota; Metazoa; Chordata; Mammalia; Primates; Hominidae. The record is from RNAcentral.